Molecule: ribosomal RNA, 453 nt
Filed under: uncultured bacterium
Lineage: Bacteria
Description: bacterial SSU rRNA
Rfam family: Bacterial small subunit ribosomal RNA
Source: RNAcentral
UACGGAAGGCAGCAGUGGGGAAUAUUGCACAAUGGGCGCAAGCCUGAUGCAGCCAUGCCGCGUGUAUGAAGAAGGCCUUCGGGUUGUAAAGUACUUUCAGUCGUGAGGAAGGUGUUAAGGUUAAUAACCUUAGCAAUUGACGUUAGCGACAGAAGAAGCACCGGCUAACUCUGUGCCAGCAGCCGCGGUAAUACGGAGGGUGCGAGCGUUAAUCGGAAUUACUGGGCGUAAAGGGCACGCAGGCGGUUAAUUAAGUUGGAUGUGAAAUCCCCGGGCUUAACCUGGGAAUGGCAUUCAAGACUGGUUAGCUAGAGUCUUGUAGAGGGGGUAGAAUUCCAUGUGUAGCGGUGAAAUGCGUAGAGAUGUGGAGGAAUACCGGUGGCGAAGGCGGCCCCUGGGACAAAGACUGACGCUCAUGUGCGAAAGCGUGGGGAGCAAACAGGAUUAGAUACC